UUAACUUAUUUGUUUGUAACUCGGACAAUAUAAAAUCAAGAGUUUAGGGUCCUCUGGCAGGCGCGGACCAGCCUAGGCCAGUGGUCAUAAGACGGGCCUGCCAAAGCAACAAAGGUAAUAUAGACAAAGGGUGGGAGAUCUACCCUGGAGGGCAAUUUCUCUGUAAUGAUCCUUCCGCAGGUUCACCUACGGAAA
This 195-nucleotide unclassified non-coding RNA is filed under the name uncultured fungus. Its description in RNAcentral is "sequence contains ITS1". Lineage: Eukaryota; Fungi. The record is from RNAcentral.